ACGAGAAUUCAACUCCGAACCAUGUUUCCUAACGCCCGAUCCGACAUCGGAAGCCACGGAACAUGGUCGAGGCCGAUCGCCAUACGGCGAACGAGCCGAAGGUCCGUAUGGAAACGUCCGGGCCCUCCAUCUUGAGAAGGAGCACGAACAUGAACGCG
Molecule: non-coding RNA, 158 nt
Filed under: Treponema sp.
Lineage: Bacteria; Pseudomonadati; Spirochaetota; Spirochaetia; Treponematales; Treponemataceae
Description: MoCo sequence
Rfam family: Molybdenum/Tungsten riboswitch aptamer (Moco RNA motif)
Source: RNAcentral